This 66-nucleotide transfer RNA is filed under the name Paracladura trichoptera. RNAcentral describes it as "tRNA-Leu". Lineage: Eukaryota; Metazoa; Arthropoda; Insecta; Diptera; Trichoceridae. The record is from RNAcentral.
AUUAAUUUGGCAGAAUAUUGUUUCAAUUUUAGAGUUUGAUUAUGUAAUUUAUUAUUACAGUUAAUA